CGGCCGAGGGCGGGGCAGGGAGGCAGCAUGCUAAACCGGGUGCGCUCGGCCGUGGCGCACCUGGUGAGCUCCGGGGGCGCUCCGCCUCCGCGCCCCAAAUCCCCGGACCUGCCCAACGCCGCCUCGGCGCCGCCCGCCGCCGCUCCAGAAGCGCCCAGGAGCCCUCCCGCGAAGGCUGGGAGCGGGAGCGCGACGCCCGCGAAGGCUGUUGAGGCUCGAGCGAGCUUCUCCAGACCGACCUUUCUGCAGCUGAGCCCCGGGGGGCUGCGACGCGCCGAUGACCACGCGGGCCGGGCUGUGCAAAGCCCCCCGGACACGGGCCGCCGCCUGCCCUGGAGCACAGGCUACGCCGAGACCCUGUUCUGCCCCAGAGCCCGGAGGGCGGAGAGCCCGGCGAAGGAUGAGUUGGCCAGUUCCCCGUCGCGGCCCGGCAGCUUAAAGGCUAAGGGAAAAGGGGUUUCACGAAGGAGCGGGGUUCUUUUUAAUAGGGGACAUAGCGGUUGGGAAGACUCGCUCACCCGCUUCCCGGCUCCAGCGCCCCAGUUCCCUGUCCCUCUUACCGUAGUUCCCCUCCCCCUCCACACCCAGAAAUAGCCCGCGACACCAGGAGGCCGCCAGCUUCCCCAGGAGCGGGGAGGGGGACGCCCGGGGUAGAGGAGGGUCCCAUUUAGAUGCCCUUCAGCCUGCCAACUCGUGCUGGCCUGGCAAAGAAGCGGACCCCCUGCCCGGAGCGGCCGGCUGGCCCCCGGGCUGUGUGUAUUUUAAAUGCAUCUGCCGGGAACGCAGAGCACCGAGGGAGAUGGGGGCGCUCAGUUCGCUGAGGAAGGUGGCUGGUGGCCCAUGGACC
RNAcentral lists this long non-coding RNA (847 nucleotides) under Homo sapiens (human). RNAcentral's name for it is "non-protein coding lnc-RHOC-2:1". The record is from RNAcentral. Lineage: Eukaryota; Metazoa; Chordata; Mammalia; Primates; Hominidae.